This 480-nucleotide ribosomal RNA is filed under the name uncultured bacterium. RNAcentral's name for it is "partial 16S ribosomal RNA". It matches the Rfam family "Bacterial small subunit ribosomal RNA", at positions 28 to 505 of the family's 1533-position model. The record is from RNAcentral.
GAUGAACGCUAGCGGCAGGCCUAAUACAUGCAAGUCGGACGGGAUUCAGGAGCUUGCUUCUGAUGAGAGUGGCGCACGGGUGCGUAACACGUAUGUAACCUACCUUUAUCAGGGGGAUAGCCUCUCGAAAGAGAGAUUAAGCCCGCAUAAAAUCACAGCACAGCAUUGUGUAAUGAUCAAAUAUUUAUAGGAUAAAGAUGGGCAUGCGGAACAUUAGCUAGAUGGCGGGGUAACGGCCCACCAUGGCGACGAUGUUUAGGGGAUCUGAGAGGAUGGCCCCCCACACUGGUACUGAGACACGGACCAGACUACUACGGGAGGCAGCAGUAAGGAAUAGUGGUCAAUGGGCGGAAGCCUGAACCAGCCAUGCCGCGUGCAGGAAGACGGCCCUACGGGUUGUAAACUGCUUUUAUACGGGAAUAAACCCAGAUACGUGUAUCUGGCUGAAUGUACUGUAAGAAUAAGGAUCGGCUAACCCCG